RNAcentral lists this ribosomal RNA (461 nucleotides) under uncultured bacterium. RNAcentral describes it as "partial 16S ribosomal RNA". It matches the Rfam family "Bacterial small subunit ribosomal RNA", at positions 28 to 506 of the family's 1533-position model. The record is from RNAcentral.
GACGAACGCUGGCGGCGUGCUUAACACAUGCAAGUCGAACGGAAAGGCCCUUCGGGGUACUCGAGUGGCGAACGGGUGAGUAACACGUGGGUGAUCUGCCCUGCACUUUGGGAUAAGCCUGGGAAACUGGGUCUAAUACCGAAUAGGACCACGCGCUUCAUGGUGUGUGGUGGCAAGCUUUUGCGGUGUGGGAUGGGCCCGCGGCCUAUCAGCUUGUUGGUGGGGUAAUGGCCUACCAAGGCGACGACGGGUAGCCGGCCUGAGAGGGUGACCGGCCACACUGGGACUGAGAUACGGCCCAGACUCCUACGGGAGGCAGCAGUGGGGAAUAUUGCACAAUGGGCGCAAGCCUGAUGCAGCGACGCCGCGUGAGGGAUGACGGCCUUCGGGUGGUAAACCUCUUUCAAUAGGGACGAAGCGCAAGUGACGGUACCUAUAGAAGAAGCACCGGCCAACUACGU